UGGGGAAUUUUGGACAAUGGGCGAAAGCCUGAUCCAGCAAUGCCGCGUGUGUGAAGAAGGCCUUCGGGUUGUAAAGCACUUUUGUCCGGAAAGAAAUCCUUGGCUCUAAUACAGUCGGGGGAUGACGGUACCGGAAGAAUAAGCACCGGCUAACUACGUGCCAGCAGCCGCGGUAAUACGUAGGGUGCAAGCGUUAAUCGGAAUUACUGGGCGUAAAGCGUGCGCAGGCGGUUUGCUAAGACCGAUGUGAAAUCCCCGGGCUCAACCUGGGAACUGCAUUGGUGACUGGCAGGCUAGAGUAUGGCAGAGGGGGGUAGAAUUCCACGUGUAGCAGUGAAAUGCGUAGAGAUGUGGAGGAAUACCGAUGGCGAAGGCAGCCCCCUGGGCCAAUACUGACGCUCAUGCACGAAAGCGUGGGGAGCAAACAGGAUUAGAUACCCUGGUAGUCCACGCCCUAAACGAUGUCAACUAGUUGUUGGGGACUUCAUUUCCUUAGUAACGUAGCUAACGCGUGAAGUUGACCGCCUGGGGAGUACGGUCGCAAGAUUAAAACUUAAAUUAAUGACGGGGUCAUA
This 575-nucleotide ribosomal RNA is filed under the name uncultured bacterium. RNAcentral describes it as "partial 16S ribosomal RNA". It matches the Rfam family "Bacterial small subunit ribosomal RNA", at positions 355 to 923 of the family's 1533-position model. The record is from RNAcentral.